ACGGGAAUAAUAACAAUGGCUGUGGGGAUGGGACAGGGGACCCCCACACCUCCAGCCCCCCACCACCCAUUCUGUGUCAUGGCGGCCGAGUAUGGGCGGAGCAUCUGGGAAUCACGGGAUAAGGAGGGAAAUAAUGGCCACGAGGACCUGCUGGUGUUCGGGUACUCGUGCAAACUGUUCCGUGACAAUGACAAGGCAAUGUAUCUGGAGAAAGGGAGCCACUUAAUUCCCUGGAUGGGCGACAACAGCGUUAUGGUCGAUAGGUAUGAUGUGCGAGGAGCACUGUAUGACCUGUCUGAGGCUGAGUCAGGAGGAGGGGGAGACCGAUGGGAGGGUCUGACAGAAGAGGAGCGAGCAGAGGAGGAGAGGUGUGAUUAUGAGCGUUACCUGGCUCUCUACCAUGACGAGUUUCAGUACCAGGCCUUCCAAGAUGAAGAGGCCAAGCGUUUGAUGGCUGAACUUGGCUCUGACACCUACACCUACAGCCAGGUUGGCUUCAAUUAUGAUGGGCAAGCCAUGGCAGGGGACAUGACUGGUGUGAGUGGUGAGCAAGGGUCUGAAUACCUUGAACACUACCAGAUGCAGCAGGGUGAGCAGCAACAGGAGCAACAACAGGAGCAGAGCUCAGGAUACAUGCCAGAAGCAGAUGAGGACACUUACGUCCCUCCUGCUGAGCUUAAUGUCCCACAAGGAAUGGUGGUGCCUGAAACUAUUAAGCAAAACAAAAUCAUUGUGAAGACUUCCAAGUUCAUUGUGGCACAAGGAGGCCAAAUGGAGAUCAUCAUAAAGACAAAGCAGGCAGACAAUCCAAUGUUUGGUUUUCUAUCUUUUGACAAUCCAUUGAAUGCCUACUACAAGCACAUGGUUGCUAUGAUCAAGAGUGGAAGAUACACUCCAGCUGAUGAAGCUGAUCAAGUCAGAUCCAGGAAAGAUAGUGAUGGCAAUGGUGACCAGUACUUGCACCCAAGUCUCUCAGCUGGCAUCAAGCCAGACCUUGCUCCAGGGACGCCUACCUCAGCCCUCAAGCCCUCUUCAGACUGUGCAUAUUUCAAGCUCAUCCAUAAAAUUAAAGAGAAGCAAAAGAACACAACUGUUGUUGAAAGCCGUGAGUCCCCAGCACCAGCCUCUCCUGGCGUUGUUGCAACCUCCACACCUGUUGCUGAACGCUCAGACACACCCACAUUGGAGAAGAAAGUGGAAAAUAAAGCAACACCCCAACCCAAAGUGAAGCAGCUGGUGGAUUACCCAUCUUUCAACCGCACCAGGGAUUAUGACUCGGACUCAGAUGAUGGGUCUGAGUCCUCCCCUUCUGCCAGUAAGGGCGCCAGUGAAUACAGCAACAUCAAGUGGCCACCACCAGAUGUACAGAUGGUGAUUGACAAGAUGGCCAGUUACAUCAUCAAAAAUGGUGUUGAGUUUGAAACGAUGGUGCGAAGUAGAGAUGAUCCUAGGUUUAGCUUUUUGAAGAAGGACCACGAGUACUAUCCAUACUACCGAUGCAAGAUACGCCUCUACACUGAGGUGUAUGGCGAUAUUUUUAAGGAUGGAGUUGAGGAUAAAGCAUCAUCCUUGAGUAGCCUUGUAGAAGGAAACUCUAGUAGCAGGAAGGACAAGCGUGGAGGCAACAGCAGUAGUAGCAACAGUAGCAGGAGUAGUAACAAUAACAAUGGCAACAAGCAGACUUCAACUAUAUGCUUCUCCAUCAAGUCAAGGGAGCAAGAUGUCAAUUUGGACAGGCACUCCACCUUCCCUGUGGAGUCAUCGUCCUCUGAUGAUGAGGACAUGGAUGAGGAGGAGAAAGAGAAGAGGCGGUUGGAGCGGGAGGAGAGGAGAAGGAAACGAAAAAUAAAGGAAAAGGAGGAGAGGGAGAGACGUGAGAAAGAGGAGAAAGAGCGGAAGGAGAGAGAGGAGAGGGAAAAGGAGAAAGAGAAGGAAAAGGCUAUUGAGAAAAUGGAGGAAUCAACAGAUGCUUCUGGUGAUAACGAUGACAUGUAUGACAUCUUCAAAUAUGCUCAGGAAAUGGAUAAAGACAUGGACACUGAAGAAUGCAACCACAGAGAGAAGGUGCUUAGUGAAGAGCAAGGGAAGGAGAGCUCCCAUCUGCCCAGUGAUGGGAUGGCACGUUCUGAAUGCAAGCAGCAGGAACGGAGGAAGAAAGCAGCCAUGUUCCUCUCCCGGUUAAAGAAAGGAAGCAGAGAGGAUGAGAGCACUGCCCAGCCUGUUUAUGGCCCCCAGCUUCCACCUGAGAUAGCAGCUCAGAUCCUGAACUCUGCAUCACAGUCACCUCGAUCAUCCCUGGCCAGCACUCGUCACUCCACCCCAUCAAGGUCACGCUCUCACUCUGCCAGUCCAGGUCCAGGGGUCCCCAUGCCACCCAAGGAGGCUCCUGCACCUCCUCCCCCUCCACCCCCUGCACAGUCACCGCCAGCCCCAAGUGGACUGGAGAUGACUGAAACAUAUAGAACCAACAGAACUGAAACAAGUACAAACAGCAUAUCUAAAAAUGAUUGGACCUCCAUUCCAGAGCCUCCGGCCAACACUGAAACUGUUGAACAUGUGAAAUCUGGUACUCCUAAAGAGUCUUCAGUAUUGUCGGAUGUGUUGCAGUGGCUCUCUGCUGUUAUUUCGCCGAGGGCGGCCGUGCAGGUGUAGGAGCCAGUGAGGACGGCCGUAGGAGUCAAAGUCUGGAAAGCAGGAGAAGCAAAUCCCGGCCCAUAGAAGUACCUCACCGGGAAAAAACUCGGAGUCGCAAGAAGCAGCGCCAUGGGCGGUCAGAAAGCCGCUCCCCAAGUAGUCGCAGGGAACGCAAGAAGAGAAAGAGGUCAAGGUCAAGGUCACGAAGGCACAAGAAGCGCCGCUCACGCUCCAGAUCACCAAAAUCACACAAGUCAUCCCACAAGAAGAAGCGACGCAAGCAUAGUUCUCGUCAUGAGAGGGAAGGAAGGGAGCGAAAGAGCAAAAAGUCUCGCAGACGCAGUGUUUCCUCAUCUUCAUCAGACUCUUCAAGUCACUCAUACUCUUCGUCCAGAUCAACAUCACCAUCAGAUAAUGAUGUGCAGGUCAUUGAGUCACCAGGACACAGCAAAAGAGGAUCAAGAGCUUCCAGUGUGAUCAGUGUUGGAACCACUGACCUCUCUCACUUAAGCUCAGCUCUUGGCAGAAUAACUGAGGAGUGUACAUCUCCUCCUUUGCCUCCCAUUCCUCCAAGUCCAGCUGCUGCCAGUCUGCUCUCCACUGUGGAAGAAAAGGCAGUUAACAAUGAUAGUGUUCUUGAAGUAACUGGAGGUGGAGGAGAGGAAACUAAGGAAGACAAGAAGGAAGAGAAGAAGCCAUUGUUUGAUCCCCAGAACAGUGCAGCAAUGGCAAAAAUAGCACAGGGUUUACGUGCCAAGGUGCAUGCUCUGCUGAACAAGGAAAGCAAAUUGUGAAAAUAAAAAAAUACUGUCAUAUCUCAUUAAAUGGGAUAAGGAAAAUAAUGUGAUAGCAUUUAUUUUUGUGAUACCACAUUGUAAGCCUGAAGUUCCAGUUUUUUUUUUUUUUUAUAAAUAGAAGGCAUUGCUAUCCUAAUAACUACUAAUGUACAAGAAAAUUUUUCCACUACAACAAAUAAACACCAUAAAUGUAUUUCAAAGUUUCUUACUGUUACAUGAGUUUUAUAAGUAAUAUAUGCAUAGAUUAUUAACCUUCCAUAGUAAUAGAGGUUCCAUACAAAUUUUAUACAAACACUGAUGCUCAACUGUGUGUAGCAACGGAAGGAUGAGAAAAGCAGAUGUAGUGCUAUCUUUAAGGGAACACUUCAGGCAUGGCCCAAGGGAAGGGAAACAUUUUUAUAACAAAAGAGGGUAACCCAGGGAAGACAUCACACCUUGUUUUAUUACAGAAGCAAAGACAGUGACAAUGACUCCUUUGCUGGGUAAAAUUGUAGACAUAGAGGUUCCACAAUUGUAUAUUGGUAUAACAUCAGUUACUGACAUCAUUGUAAUCCAUGUAGAAAGGUGGUGUCUGUAAACAAAAAGUAAAUUGUGAUGUAUUUUAUGAACCAAAGGCAGAUACUUGAAUGGAAUGAACGAGUCCUGAUAAUGUUGGUUUAUGGUUGCCUGUCAGUGAUAGUUUUGCUUGUAAUAUUCCAGGCUGAUUUUCCAGGCAGAACUACAAACAUAUAUUGUGGAA
Molecule: RNA transcript, 4170 nt
Organism: Scylla paramamosain (green mud crab)
Lineage: Eukaryota; Metazoa; Arthropoda; Malacostraca; Decapoda; Portunidae
Gene: su(w[a])
Gene name: splicing factor, suppressor of white-apricot homolog
Exons: 17
Source: RefSeq, a predicted model, not a curated record